UUUUAAAAAUUUCCUCCCUUUGUAUUAUUAAAAACUACAUGACUGAUAGAAUAAUCGGUGACACAUGACAUGACACACUACUUUAUGUUGACAUACAAAGACUCGUUUUUAACAGUAAAAAUAGAUGGAAUUUUAAUA
Gossypium arboreum is the source of this 138-nucleotide microRNA precursor. It matches the Rfam family "MIR7502 microRNA precursor family". NCBI's taxonomy places the organism in Eukaryota, Viridiplantae, Streptophyta, Magnoliopsida, Malvales, Malvaceae. The record is from Rfam.